CAUGCUACCCUAAAUGCACCUGAUCUCAUCUGAUCUUGGAAGCUCAGCAGGGUCGGGCCUGGUUAGUACUUGAGUGGGAGAGCUCACCAUGAACCCAUGUU
Molecule: ribosomal RNA, 101 nt
Filed under: Prolemur simus (greater bamboo lemur)
Lineage: Eukaryota; Metazoa; Chordata; Mammalia; Primates; Lemuridae
Source: RNAcentral